RNAcentral lists this ribosomal RNA (452 nucleotides) under uncultured bacterium. RNAcentral's name for it is "bacterial SSU rRNA". It matches the Rfam family "Bacterial small subunit ribosomal RNA", at positions 340 to 786 of the family's 1533-position model. The record is from RNAcentral.
UACGGAAGGCAGCAGUGGGGAAUAUUGCACAAUGGGCGCAAGCCUGAUGCAGCCAUGCCGCGUGUAUGAAAAAGGCCUUCGGGUUGUAAAGUACUUUCAGUCGUGAGGAAGGUGUUAAGGUUAAUAACCUUAGCAAUUGACGUUAGCGACAGAAGAAGCACCGGCUAACUCCGUGCCAGCAGCCGCGGUAAUACGGAGGGUGCGAGCGUUAAUCGGAAUUACUGGGCUAAAGGGCACGCAGGCGGUUAAUUAAGUUGGAUGUGAAAUCCCCGGGCUUAACCUGGGAAUGGCAUUCAAGACUGGUUAGCUAGAGUCUUGUAGAGGGGGUAGAAUUCCAUGUGUAGCGGUGAAAUGCGUAGAGAUGUGGAGGAAUACCGGUGGCGAAGGCGGCCCCUGGACAAAGACUGACGCUCAUGUGCGAAAGCGUGGGGAGCAAACAGGGAUUAGAUACC